This 248-nucleotide unclassified non-coding RNA is filed under the name plant metagenome. RNAcentral describes it as "partial contains small subunit ribosomal RNA, internal transcribed spacer 1, and 5.8S ribosomal RNA". The record is from RNAcentral.
UUUCCGUAGGUGAACCUGCGGAAGGAUCAUUAUCGAGUUUUGACUGGGUUGUAGCUGGCCUUCCGAGGCAUGUGCACGCCCUGCUCAUCCAUCUCACCCCUAUGUGCACCACCGCGUGGGUCCCCCUUUGGCUUGUUCGGAGGGGGGCUUACGUUUUCACACAAACUUUGUAUGCAGUGUAGAAUGUAUUUUUUGUUUUUGCGAUCACGCAAUCAAUACAACUUUCAACAACGGAUCUCUUGGCUCUC